RNAcentral lists this non-coding RNA (45 nucleotides) under Schistosoma mattheei. Lineage: Eukaryota; Metazoa; Platyhelminthes; Trematoda; Strigeidida; Schistosomatidae. The record is from RNAcentral.
AUCCAACUGACAAGUCCUAAAUAGGACGAAACACGUAUCCUGUAU